GACGAACGCUGGCGGCGUGCUUAACACAUGCAAGUCGAACGGAAAGGCCCUGCUUUUGUGGGGUGCUCGAGUGGCGAACGGGUGAGUAACACGUGAGUAACCUGCCCUUGACUUUGGGAUAACUUCAGGAAACUGGGGCUAAUACCGGAUAGGAGCUCCUGCUGCAUGGUGGGGGGUGGGAAAGUUCGGCGGUUGGGGAUGGACUCGCGGCUUAUCAGCUUGUUGGUGGGGUAGUGGCUUACCAAGGCUUUGACGGGUAGCCGGCCUGAGAGGGUGACCGGCCACAUUGGGACUGAGAUACGGCCCAGACUCCUACGGGAGGCAGCAGUGGGGAAUAUUGCACAAUGGGCGGAAGCCUGAUGCAGCAACGCCGCGUGCGGGAUGACGGCCUUCGGGUUGUAAACCGCUUUCGCCUGUGACGAAGCGUGAGUGACGGUAAUGGGUAAAGAAGCACCGGCUAACUACGUG
This 468-nucleotide ribosomal RNA is filed under the name uncultured bacterium. Its description in RNAcentral is "partial 16S ribosomal RNA". It matches the Rfam family "Bacterial small subunit ribosomal RNA", at positions 28 to 507 of the family's 1533-position model. The record is from RNAcentral.